Molecule: long non-coding RNA, 207 nt
Filed under: Elaeis guineensis (African oil palm)
Lineage: Eukaryota; Viridiplantae; Streptophyta; Magnoliopsida; Arecales; Arecaceae
Description: long non-coding RNA (EGUI_LNC000550)
Source: RNAcentral
UACCUUUUUAAAUGCAUCCCAACCAUUGGGAGUAGACGAUCAUGUCAGAAUUUUUGGAUUGUGAAUCAGCUUCAUAGAAUAAAAAAAAAUAUUUUUACAUAUUGAGAAAGGAGAAUAGAUCAAAUAUCCCUUCCCAUAAGAAAAUAAGGAAUCCAGCUAGAGGAUGAUGUUACUUUGACCAGAUUUAACAAGCACACCUUUAUGAGA